GACGUAGGGCGCGAGCGUUGUCCGGAUUUAUUGGGCGUAAAGAGCUCGUAGGCGGCUUGUCGCGUCGGCUGUGAAAUCCCGUGGCUCAACUGCGGGUCUGCAGCCGAUACGGGCAGGCUAGAGUUCGGUAGGGGAGACUGGAAUUCCGGGUGUAGUGGUGAAAUGCGUAGAGAUCCGGAGGAACCCCAGAGGCGAAGGCGGCAGCCUGGUUGGCUCCUGACGCUCGGACACGACAGCAUGGGGAGCGAACGGG
Molecule: ribosomal RNA, 253 nt
Filed under: uncultured bacterium
Lineage: Bacteria
Description: partial 16S ribosomal RNA
Rfam family: Bacterial small subunit ribosomal RNA
Source: RNAcentral